This 503-nucleotide ribosomal RNA is filed under the name uncultured bacterium. RNAcentral describes it as "partial 16S ribosomal RNA". It matches the Rfam family "Bacterial small subunit ribosomal RNA", at positions 29 to 523 of the family's 1533-position model. The record is from RNAcentral.
AUUGAACGCUAGCGGCAUGCCUUACACAUGCAAGUCGAACGGCAGCGGGGGAGCUUGCUCCCGCCGGCGAGUGGCGAACGGGUGAGUAAUACAUCGGAACGUACCCAGUAGCGGGGGAUAGCCCGGCGAAAGCCGGAUUAAUACCGCAUACGCCCUACGGGGGAAAGGGGGGGAUCGCAAGACCUCUCACUAUUGGAGCGGCCGAUGGCUGAUUAGCUAGUUGGUGGGGUAAAGGCCUACCAAGGCGACGAUGGGUAGCCGGCCUGAGAGGGGGCACGGCCACACUGGCACUGAGAGACGGGCCAGACUCCGACGGGAGGCAGCAGUGGGGAAGUUUGCGCAAUGGGGGGAACCCUGACGCAGCAACGCCGCGUGAGUGAUGAAGGCCUGCGGGUCGUAAAGCUCUUUUAGUGGGGAAGAAUCCCACCCGGGCUAAUAUCUCGGGUGUCUGACGGUACCCACAGAAAAAGUUCCGGCUAACUACGUGCCAGCCGCCGCAGUAA